CCAGGGGAGGGGCUGCCGGAGCGGCCUCUUUCUUCUCCCGCUUAGCCCUGCCCGCGCCGGGGCGGGGAGGCUGCCUGAAUCACGGGCAUCAUGUGCCCGACGCCCGGGCUCCAGCGGGGCAUUUAAAUGCCAGCGGGCGCCGGGCCCGGAGCAGCGCAAGCCUCCGCCACCAUCUCCGCCGCCGGCCCGAAGCAGACGCCCGGCCCGAUCCGUCUCGCUUGGAGAGAGACGGUUGCGCGCUCCUCGCACGGGUCCUGCUUCGCAUCCGUCCCCGCGCUGUGCGCCCUCGCCGAGGCCGCUCGCCAUGAGAGCCAUCCCCGCGCCCGGGAUCCGCUUCCUGCGCUCCUUCUCCAGGGACAGCUGGUACCGGGGAUUAAUUCUUGUGUUGACGUUCCUGUGCUACACCACUUUCCAUCUCUCACGGAAGCCCAUUAGUAUAGUAAAGAGUGAACUGCAUUAUAACUGCUCUUCGCGGGGACCCAAUCCGCACAAUGAAUCAAACAGCACUACGUGGUGUGACUGGAAGCCUUUUGAUCAGGACAACUACAAAGAACUCUUUGGAGCCUUGGACAAUGCGUUCCUGGUUGCCUACGCUAUAGGAAUGUACAUCAGUGGGGUCUUCGGUGAGCGCCUUCCAUUGCGCUACUAUCUGUCUGGAGGAAUGCUGCUGAGCGGGUUGUUCACUGCAUUAUUUGGACUGGGCUACUACUGGAACAUCCAUGAACUGUGGUAUUUUGUUCUUGUACAGGUCCUCAAUGGCUUGGCACAAACGACGGGAUGGCCCUCGGUAGUGACGUGUGUUGGCAACUGGUUUGGAAAGGGGAAACGGGGCUUAAUCAUGGGCAUCUGGAAUUCGCACACAUCUGUGGGAAACAUUUUAGGAUCCUUGAUUGCUGGUGCCUGGGUUUCAAACGCCUGGGGCCUGUCGUUCAUCGUGCCUGGGAUCAUCAUUGCCAGCAUGGGCGUCAUCUGCUUCCUGUUCCUCAUUGAAUAUCCCGAAGAUGUCGACUGCAGCCCUCCUCUCCAUCACGCUGCCGGUUUGGAAGAGAAAGGUCUCGAGGCGGGCCACUCCAUCAGCGACGGGAGCCUAAAUGUCUCCAGCAACAGCCGAGAAAACAUUGUGGACAUGUCGGAAGGUAGCAAAGAAUCGGCGGACGACCGGGAAGCCAUUAGUUUCAUUGAUGCCCUCCGGAUACCUGGCGUGGUGGAGUUCUCCUUUUGCCUCCUGUUUGCAAAACUAGUCAGUUACACGUUCCUUUACUGGCUUCCCCUCUACAUUGUGAAUGUGGCUCACUUCACUGCGAAAAAGGCGGGGGAUAUGUCCACUCUCUUUGACGUCGGCGGCAUAAUUGGAGGCAUCAUGGCAGGUCUCAUAUCUGACUACACAGGUGGCAGGGCCACGACAUGCUGUACGAUGCUCAUUUUGGCUGCUCCCAUGCUCUUUGUCUACAACCAUGUUGGCCAGACUGGACUAGCAACGUCAAUAGUGAUGUUAAUUUUCUGCGGCGCCCUCGUCAACGGGCCUUACGCUCUCAUCACAACUGCGGUGUCUGCGGACUUGGGCACUCAUGAAUGUCUCCAAGGAAACUCAAAGGCCCUUGCCACCGUUACAGCCAUCAUUGAUGGAACGGGAUCUGUCGGUGCUGCUCUUGGACCCCUGCUGGCAGGUGUGAUCUCUAGCACCGGCUGGGACAAUGUCUUCUACAUGCUGAUGGCCGCCGAUCUCCUGGCUUGCCUAUUCCUUUCACGUGUGGUGUUCAAAGAAAUACGAGGGUGGUGCGGCUCCUACAGAAGAAAACGAGGCUCUUGUGUGGCAUUAACAGACCCAGUAAUGUUGGAUACGAAAUAGUUUGCAGUGUCAGACAUCACUCUUGAGUAGGCAUGUUCUGGGGCCAUAAGUCAUGCUUUAAAGAAUUUUGACGGAGACCCCCGCGACCGGAGGAAACUAUCGAGGCAACAGGGAGAGCCUUGCCGGAGUCGGUUGGUUUUGUUCACAGCGGGAGGAAUAAAUGAAGCUGCUGAAACGGGAUGUGCUCCAGAAACAAAGAGAACUCUCUUACCAAACACCAGUCAAGCUGAUCACCAGCUUCAUACUUUUUUUAAAAAAGAAAAGAAUAAGAAGAAUAACUGAUGGAAGGGAACAGGGGAACAUGAUGCCGUGGAACCAAAGGAGAAGAAAAGCUGGCAUGUUUGAGAUCCGUGCCCAUAUCCAAAGCAUCUGUUUUGUAUCAAUUGCCCUUUUGUUACUGCGAUUUUUUUAUUAUUAAAAAUGGCACGGGACCCGCCGGUGGUACUUUUCUGUCUCCUGGAACAUAAGGAGAACCUGCUGGGUCAGGCCGAUGGCCCAUCUAGUCCAUCAUCCUGUUCUCCCAGUGGCCAACCAGAGGCCUCUGAGAAGCCUGCAAUCUGGACCUGAACUCAACAGCUCUCUUCCAACAGUGGAGAUGUGGCUAGUAGGCUCCGAUAGCUUCAUCCUCUGUGAAUUUGUCUGGUCCUCUUUUAAAGCCAUCUUGCAUGGUGGCCAUCACUGCCUCAUUCAGAAAGUUUUGGUCCUGGGUCUUCCGACGUUCAGCGUCAUUGGACGUCCCCAAGUUCUAGUCUCGCGAGAGAAGCAGAAAACCUUUUCUCUGACUGCUUCCUCUACAUCUUAUACACCUCUUGCCAUGUCGCCUUUUUCCUCUCAACUAGGAAGCCCCAUAUCUUGUAACCUUUCCCCACAUGGGAGUUGCUGUAUCACCCUGUUUGUGGCCCAGUGGGAGCAGCUAUACCCUCCUAACUGUUGUCAUUGGGAGUGAGAGUCCACCUUACAUGUAGUUCUGUAACCCUUCAAAGUGGCUACAAAGCAACCCGCAAGGGCAGUUUUCUGGGUGCUGCACAAUACUCCUACUAGAAAUCGACCGCAAUGCACGCUUACCAGGCAGAAAGUGCUGCUGAAAACUCUGGGUUAUGAGUUAACAUCUAUGCCAAGUACAGUGGUACCUCGACUUACGAAUUUAAUGCGUUCCAAACGCACAUUUGUAAGUUGAAAAAAAUUGUAAGUUGAAUCCCAUAGGAAUGCAUUGGGAG
Molecule: RNA transcript, 3066 nt
Organism: Zootoca vivipara (common lizard)
Lineage: Eukaryota; Metazoa; Chordata; Lepidosauria; Squamata; Lacertidae
Gene: SLC37A2
Gene name: solute carrier family 37 member 2
Source: RefSeq, a predicted model, not a curated record